Molecule: ribosomal RNA, 672 nt
Filed under: uncultured archaeon
Lineage: Archaea
Description: bacterial SSU rRNA
Rfam family: Archaeal small subunit ribosomal RNA
Source: RNAcentral
GGUGAAGAACUCUGGAAUGAGUCUUUGCCAAAAAGACGUUUACGUUAUGCUCGUAGGCGUCGCCCAAGGAUGAGGCCGCGACCGAUCAGGUUGUUGGUGAGGUAAUGGCUCACCAAGCCUUUUACCGGUGCGGGCCGUGAGAGCGGGAGCCCGGAGAUGGGCACUGAGACAAGGGCCCAGGCCCUACGGGGCGCAGCAGUCGCGAAAACUUUGCAAUACACGAAAGUGUGACAGGGCUAUCCCGAGUGCCAUCCGCUGAGGAAGGCUUUUACCCAGUCUAGAACGCUGGGGGAAUAAGGAGAGGGCAAGUCUGGUGUCAGCCGCCGCGGUAAUACCAGCUCUCCGAGUGGUGUGGAUGUUUAUUGGGCCUAAAGCAUCCGUAGCUGGCUGAGUUAGUCCCUUGUUAAAUCCACCGAAUUAAUCGUUGGAUUGCGGGGGAUACUGCUCGGCUAGGGGACGAGAGAGGCAGACGGUAUUUCUGGGGUAGGGGUGAAAUCCUAUAAUCCCAGGAGGACCACCAGUGGCGAAGGCUGUCUGCUAGAACGCGCCCGACGGUGAGGGAUGAAAGCUGGGGGAGCGAACCGGAUUAGAUACCCGGGUAGUCCCAGCUGUAAACGAUGCAGACUAGGUGUUUGGACGGCCACGUGCCGUUCUAGUGCCGCAGGGAAGCUG